AACGAACGCUGGCGGCAUGCCUAACACAUGCAAGUCGAACGAUACCUUCGGGUCUAGUGGCGCACGGGUGCGUAACGCGUGGGAACCUUCCCUUAGGUGCGGAAUAACUCCCCGAAAGGGGUGCUAAUACCGGAUAAUGUCUUCGGACCAAAGAUUUAUCGCCUUUGGAUGGGCCCGCGUUGGAUUAGCUAGUUGGUAGGGUAAAAGCCUACCAAGGCGACGAUCCAUAGCUGGUCUGAGAGGAUGAUCAGCCACACUGGGACUGAGACACGGCCCAGACUCCUACGGGAGGCAGCAGUGGGGAAUAUUGGACAAUGGGCGAAAGCCUGAUCCAGCAAUGCCGCGUGAGUGAUGAAGGCCUUAGGGUUGUAAAGCUCUUUUACCCGGGAUGAUAAUGACAGUACCGGGAGAAUAAGCUCCGGCUAACUCCGUG
RNAcentral lists this ribosomal RNA (433 nucleotides) under uncultured bacterium. RNAcentral describes it as "partial 16S ribosomal RNA". It matches the Rfam family "Bacterial small subunit ribosomal RNA", at positions 29 to 507 of the family's 1533-position model. The record is from RNAcentral.